Molecule: ribosomal RNA, 215 nt
Filed under: Puniceicoccales bacterium
Lineage: Bacteria; Pseudomonadati; Verrucomicrobiota; Opitutia; Puniceicoccales
Description: partial 23S ribosomal RNA
Rfam family: Bacterial large subunit ribosomal RNA
Source: RNAcentral
GGUGUUCCGGUUAUUGUGUCAGCAGUAGCGCCGGGUAGCUAAGUUCGGACUGGAUAAGCGCUGAAAGCAUCUAAGCGCCAAGCCAUUCCCAAGAUGAGAUUUCCUUGAAGGUAACUUCGAAAGAGUCCUGGUAGACCACCAGGUUGAUAGGUCAGAUGUGUAAGCGCAGUAAUGCGUUAAGCUAACCGAUACUAAUGACUCGAAGACUUUUCAUU